Molecule: long non-coding RNA, 200 nt
Organism: Juglans microcarpa x Juglans regia
Lineage: Eukaryota; Viridiplantae; Streptophyta; Magnoliopsida; Fagales; Juglandaceae
Exons: 2
Source: RefSeq, a predicted model, not a curated record
UAUGUGAGGUUGGGAAAUUUUUGGUUGGUUUGAAUGUUGGGGCAUAUAUUUUGAGACAAAGCAUUUUGUGAACUGAGUAGAUGUUUCUACCCAGAAGAUGACUAUAGUUUUAACUUGUAAUUAAGGGGACCAUCCUAUGUUUUGAUAAAUAGGAUAUUUUGAAACUUUGAAAUAUGAUAGAAAUGGGGAAGGUCCCUUUU